RNAcentral lists this ribosomal RNA (188 nucleotides) under uncultured rumen bacterium. RNAcentral's name for it is "partial 16S ribosomal RNA". It matches the Rfam family "Bacterial small subunit ribosomal RNA", at positions 338 to 524 of the family's 1533-position model. The record is from RNAcentral.
CCUACGGGAGGCAGCAGUGAGGAAUAUUGGUCAAUGGACGAGAGUCUGAACCAGCCAAGUAGCGUGCAGGAUGACGGCCCUAUGGGUUGUAAACUGCUUUUAUACAGGGAUAAAGUGCACUACGUGUAGUGUUUUGUAGGUACUGUAUGAAUAAGGACCGGCUAAUUCCGUGCCAGCAGCCGCGUAAU